CCCUACAUGCUCAGGUCGAGCGAAGGUGCCACUCAAUAUUGUGAACAUGGAGACGGGGCAUGCCCUACAUGCUUGGGCCUCAGGUCCCAACCAGUGUCCAAGGCAUCCAGCCCUCGCGCGCUCUGCAUGCUCAGGCCGAUGGAAGGUACCGGGUAGUAUUGCAAACAUGGGGUCGGGGCAUGCCCUGCAUGCUUGGUCCUC
This 201-nucleotide long non-coding RNA is filed under the name Elaeis guineensis (African oil palm). RNAcentral's name for it is "long non-coding RNA (EGUI_LNC041073)". The record is from RNAcentral. Lineage: Eukaryota; Viridiplantae; Streptophyta; Magnoliopsida; Arecales; Arecaceae.